GCUCGUAGUUGGAUUCAGAAGGUGGGGUUGUGGGUCGGGUGUGGCCCGGCAGCAUUGUCUCCGUGUGCCGCUCCCAAUCAACCCGCGUUUGCCCCAGCCUCCUAUCGCACGGAAACGGAGUCCUGCUGGGGUCUCCUUAACUGGGGGUUCCAGCGCUUCCGCGCACAACGUGCGCUUACGGACCGUCCGUGGACGUUACUGUGAACAAAACAGCGUGUUCAAAGCAAGUGGCUUGCCUGCCCUGCAUGUUAAAGCAUGGAAUAACAAGGCAUCGACCACUCGGCGGUGCUUUUGUUGGUCUUUCCCUCCCGGUGGGAAUGCGCAGGCGUGCACACUGCCGGCCUUCUGGCCGGUCUGGGUGCCGUCUCUUCGAGAUCAAUAGGGGCAAACGGGGAGAUACCUAUUGUGGGGAGAGCGGUGAAAUGCGAUGACCCCCAUAAGAGGAACUUCAGCGAAAGCAGUUCUCAAGACUGCCUUCGUUAAUCAAGAACGAGACUGUGGGGAUCAAAGAUGAUCAGAUACCGUCGUAGUCCACUAGCGUAAACGAUGCCGACUCAUCAUUGGGGGGCAUCUCUAACAAGCGCCCCCCAGUGGUUCUCCCCCCUGUAAGAGAAAUCUAAGUUUAUGGGCUCAGGGGGGAGUAUGGCUGCAAGGCUGAAACUUGAAGGAAUUGACGGAAUGACACCACCAGGCGUGGGGUCUGUGGUUUAAUUUGACUCAACACGGAAACCUUGUUACGACUUA
RNAcentral lists this ribosomal RNA (744 nucleotides) under uncultured marine eukaryote. Its description in RNAcentral is "bacterial SSU rRNA". It matches the Rfam family "Eukaryotic small subunit ribosomal RNA", at positions 626 to 1232 of the family's 1831-position model. The record is from RNAcentral.